RNAcentral lists this transfer RNA (74 nucleotides) under Methanoregulaceae archaeon. RNAcentral describes it as "tRNA-His". It matches the Rfam family "tRNA". From Rfam's summary of the family: Transfer RNA (tRNA) molecules are approximately 80 nucleotides in length. Their secondary structure includes four short double-helical elements and three loops (D, anti-codon, and T loops). Lineage: Archaea; Methanobacteriati; Methanobacteriota; Methanomicrobia; Methanomicrobiales; Methanoregulaceae. The record is from RNAcentral.
GCCAGGGUGGGGUAGUUUGGUUAUCCUAGGGGACUGUGGAUCCCCCGACCCGGGUUCGAAUCUCGGCCCUGGCC